RNAcentral lists this ribosomal RNA (397 nucleotides) under uncultured eukaryote. RNAcentral describes it as "partial 18S ribosomal RNA". It matches the Rfam family "Eukaryotic small subunit ribosomal RNA", at positions 1470 to 1796 of the family's 1831-position model. The record is from RNAcentral.
CCCUUAGAUGUCCCAGGCCGCACGCGUGUUACAGUGGGCUGUACAACAGGUGUAUACACACCGGUAUCCCUAUGACCGCGUGUGCCUCCGCUGUCCACCCGAGGCAGCGGGAAGCCAGUGAGGACUGCAGCGGCUAGGACUGCCGAAAAGGUUCGUCCUGUCGGUGCCUAAAUCCCCCGUUCGUUGGAAUUGGCCGCUGGAACUGCGCCCGUGAACGCGGAAUACCUAGUAGGGGUGACUCAACAUACCACCCCGAUUGAGUCCCUGUCUUUUGUACACACCGCCCGUCGCUGCCUCUGACGGAAGGCGGGGUGAAGUCUCGGGAGGGACUGGCUCUUAGGAGUCGGUUCCAAACGUGAAAGAACCCCUCCGUCCUGAGGAAGCAGAAGUCGUAACA